UGGGCAACCUGCCCCUCUCUCUGGGAUAACCCCGGGAAACCGGAGCUAAUACCGGAUACUCCGGCUGGAUCGCAUGGUCCGGCCGGGAAAGGUCCGCCGGAGAGGGAUGGGCCCGCGGCCUAUCAGCUUGUUGGUGGGGUCAUGGCUCACCAAGGCGACGACGGGUAGCUGGUCUGAGAGGACGACCAGCCACACUGGAACUGAGACACGGCCCAGACCUCCGUACGGGAGGCA
This 234-nucleotide ribosomal RNA is filed under the name uncultured bacterium. RNAcentral describes it as "partial 16S ribosomal RNA". It matches the Rfam family "Bacterial small subunit ribosomal RNA", at positions 118 to 350 of the family's 1533-position model. The record is from RNAcentral.